This 612-nucleotide ribosomal RNA is filed under the name Salmonella enterica subsp. enterica serovar Infantis. Its description in RNAcentral is "partial 16S ribosomal RNA". It matches the Rfam family "Bacterial small subunit ribosomal RNA", at positions 1 to 602 of the family's 1533-position model. RNAcentral also lists the same sequence under 1 other name. The record is from RNAcentral. Lineage: Bacteria; Pseudomonadati; Pseudomonadota; Gammaproteobacteria; Enterobacterales; Enterobacteriaceae.
AAAUUGAAGAGUUUGAUCAUGGCUCAGAUUGAACGCUGGCGGCAGGCCUAACACAUGCAAGUCGAACGGUAACAGGAAGCAGCUUGCUGCUUCGCUGACGAGUGGCGGACGGGUGAGUAAUGUCUGGGAAACUGCCUGAUGGAGGGGGAUAACUACUGGAAACGGUGGCUAAUACCGCAUAACGUCGCAAGACCAAAGAGGGGGACCUUCGGGCCUCUUGCCAUCAGAUGUGCCCAGAUGGGAUUAGCUUGUUGGUGAGGUAACGGCUCACCAAGGCGACGAUCCCUAGCUGGUCUGAGAGGAUGACCAGCCACACUGGAACUGAGACACGGUCCAGACUCCUACGGGAGGCAGCAGUGGGGAAUAUUGCACAAUGGGCGCAAGCCUGAUGCAGCCAUGCCGCGUGUAUGAAGAAGGCCUUCGGGUUGUAAAGUACUUUCAGCGGGGAGGAAGGUGUUGCGGUUAAUAACCGCAGCAAUUGACGUUACCCGCAGAAGAAGCACCGGCUAACUCCGUGCCAGCAGCCGCGGUAAUACGGAGGGUGCAAGCGUUAAUCGGAAUUACUGGGCGUAAAGCGCACGCAGGCGGUCUGUCAAGUCGGAUGUGAAAUCC